This 114-nucleotide ribosomal RNA is filed under the name Mus pahari (shrew mouse). RNAcentral describes it as "rRNA (MGP_PahariEiJ_G0032698.1)". The record is from RNAcentral. Lineage: Eukaryota; Metazoa; Chordata; Mammalia; Rodentia; Muridae.
GUCUACUGUCAUAUGACCUUGAACAUACCCCAUUUUGUCUGAUUUUAGAACCAAGGCAGGCCUGGCUAGUAUUUGAAUGGGAGACUGCCUGUGAAUACCAGGUGCCUAUAGGCU